UGUUAAAAAUGUCAUCUAUUUUUACUAUUAAAAAGUCCAUGCACAUUAGAAUAAGGUACAUACAUGUAAUUGUUUAGUUAUUCUAUAGCAAUGUCAACUUUUAACAGUAAAAAUGAAUGAAUUUAUUACUA
Molecule: microRNA precursor, 131 nt
Filed under: Gossypium hirsutum (cotton)
Lineage: Eukaryota; Viridiplantae; Streptophyta; Magnoliopsida; Malvales; Malvaceae
Description: MIR7502 microRNA precursor family
Rfam family: MIR7502 microRNA precursor family
Source: Rfam by way of RNAcentral